UUUAUGGAGAGUUUGAUCCUGGCUCAGGAUGAACGCUGGCGGCGUGCCUAAUACAUGCAAGUCGAGCGAACGGACGAGAAGCUUGCUUCUCUGAUGUUAGCGGCGGACGGGUGAGUAACACGUGGAUAACCUGCCUAUAAGACUGGGAUAACUUCGGGAAACCGGAGCUAAUACCGGAUAAUAUUUUGAACCGCAUGGUUCAAAAGUGAAAGACGGUCUUGCUGUCACUUAUAGAUGGAUCCGCGCUGCAUUAGCUAGUUGGUAAGGUAACGGCUUACCAAGGCAACGAUGCAUAGCCGACCUGAGAGGGUGAUCGGCCACACUGGAACUGAGACACGGUCCAGACUCCUACGGGAGGCAGCAGUAGGGAAUCUUCCGCAAUGGGCGAAAGCCUGACGGAGCAACGCCGCGUGAGUGAUGAAGGUCUUCGGAUCGUAAAACUCUGUUAUUAGGGAAGAACAUAUGUGUAAGUAACUGUGCACAUCUUGACGGUACCUAAUCAGAAAGCCACGGCUAACUACGUGCCAGCAGCCGCGGUAAUACGUAGGUGGCAAGCGUUAUCCGGAAUUAUUGGGCGUAAAGCGCGCGUAGGCGGUUUUUUAAGUCUGAUGUGAAAGCCCACGGCUCAACCGUGGAGGGUCAUUGGAAACUGGAAAACUUGAGUGCAGAAGAGGAAAGUGGAAUUCCAUGUGUAGCGGUGAAAUGCGCAGAGAUAUGGAGGAACACCAGUGGCGAAGGCGACUUUCUGGUCUGUAACUGACGCUGAUGUGCGAAAGCGUGGGGAUCAAACAGGAUUAGAUACCCUGGUAGUCCACGCCGUAAACGAUGAGUGCUAAGUGUUAGGGGUUUCCGCCCCUUAGUGCUGCAGCUAACGCAUUAAGCACUCCGCCUGGGGAGUACGACCGCAAGGUUGAAACUCAAAGGAAUUGACGGGGACCCGCACAAGCGGUGGAGCAUGUGGUUUAAUUCGAAGCAACGCGAAGAACCUUACCAAAUCUUGACAUCCUUUGACAACUCUAGAGAUAGAGCUUUCCCCUUCGGGGACAAAGUGACAGGUGGUGCAUGGUUGUCGUCAGCUCGUGUCGUGAGAUGUUGGGUUAAGUCCCGCAACGAGCGCAACCCUUAAGCUUAGUUGCCAUCAUUAAGUUGGGCACUCUAAGUUGACUGCCGGUGACAAACCGGAGGAAGGUGGGGAUGACGUCAAAUCAUCAUGCCCCUUAUGAUUUGGGCUACACACGUGCUACAAUGGACAAUACAAAGGGCAGCGAAACCGCGAGGUCAAGCAAAUCCCAUAAAGUUGUUCUCAGUUCGGAUUGUAGUCUGCAACUCGACUACAUGAAGCUGGAAUCGCUAGUAAUCGUAGAUCAGCAUGCUACGGUGAAUACGUUCCCGGGUCUUGUACACACCGCCCGUCACACCACGAGAGUUUGUAACACCCGAAGCCGGUGGAGUAACCUUUUAGGAGCUAGCCGUCGAAGGUGGGACAAAUGAUUGGGGUGAAGUCGUAACAAGGUAGCCGUAUCGGAAGGUGCGGCUGGAUCACCUCCUUUCU
RNAcentral lists this ribosomal RNA (1552 nucleotides) under Staphylococcus aureus. RNAcentral describes it as "16S ribosomal RNA". It matches the Rfam family "Bacterial small subunit ribosomal RNA". Lineage: Bacteria; Bacillati; Bacillota; Bacilli; Caryophanales; Staphylococcaceae. The record is from RNAcentral.